Mya arenaria is the source of this 373-nucleotide long non-coding RNA. RefSeq lists it as uncharacterized. Lineage: Eukaryota; Metazoa; Mollusca; Bivalvia; Myida; Myidae. The record is from RefSeq and is a predicted model, not a curated record. The transcript is spliced from 2 exons.
AUUGCAAUGUUUUCAGGUUAUGACACAUUUCGAUACCAACUAUAUUCAUUUCUUAUCGCCUGUACUGUGUAUAAUAAUUGUUAUGGCGUUAACAUGUUAAAUAAUCACACCCCAAAAGGUGCCCAUCAUAGAGUGUUUCUCUUUGCCUGCAAUCAGGAUACAUCAACUGACCUUUGAACUGUGUUUUCCAACUUGGGAUUCAAACACAUGCCCUCUUGGGUAGGAGAAAGUCAGACAAACACCUGUGGCUAUAUCACUAUACUUCUUCAAGUCUCGCUCUAUGAGUGAUCAUGAUGUGAAAUAAAACAAAAUGCAGUCAUCUUUUUGUCAUAUUAAAUAAGUUAUGAACAAAUAAAAUAUUUCAAACAUUUUA